CCCUCUCCUCUUUCUUUCGCUCAACGUCAUAAGAAGACUGCAAAGAAGAAGGAGAUGACGUCGAUAUAGAAUCGAGUCAAAAGCUAUUGCAAUCUUCAAUUGAAUCUCGCAGCAUCAACUUGUCUUAAACCAGGAGG
Molecule: long non-coding RNA, 137 nt
Organism: Octopus sinensis (East Asian common octopus)
Lineage: Eukaryota; Metazoa; Mollusca; Cephalopoda; Octopoda; Octopodidae
Exons: 2
Source: RefSeq, a predicted model, not a curated record